Long non-coding RNA from Portunus trituberculatus (swimming crab), 192 nucleotides. RefSeq lists it as uncharacterized. NCBI's taxonomy places the organism in Eukaryota, Metazoa, Arthropoda, Malacostraca, Decapoda, Portunidae. The record is from RefSeq and is a predicted model, not a curated record. The transcript is spliced from 2 exons.
CUCGCCAUUAUCCUCUCGUCACUGUCUGCCAAUGCAUGAAAGAGGAAAGACUGCCAUUUGAGAGUGCCAAUACUGUACAGUGACUUGGAAUGAGGAUAAUCUGAUGCAUAAUUCCAGAGAGAGAGAGAGAGAGAGAGAGAGAGAGAGAGAGAGAGAGAGAGAGAGAGAGAGAGAGAGAGAGAGAGAGAGAGA